Stomoxys calcitrans (stable fly) is the source of this 641-nucleotide long non-coding RNA. RefSeq lists it as uncharacterized. Lineage: Eukaryota; Metazoa; Arthropoda; Insecta; Diptera; Muscidae. The record is from RefSeq and is a predicted model, not a curated record. The transcript is spliced from 2 exons.
UUUUAUAUUAUAUACCCACAAUUAUGGAACAGCUGUUUUAAGUUCCCUGAACGAUAUUUUUUCAUAGGCAAAAGCAGGGCUGCGAAGUUGGAGUCUUGGAGUAUAAAUUAGAGAAUUUUGUUGGAAAAAUUUUGCUCGACUCCCACUCCGGGCAAGAAAAAUUUUUAAGGAACAUUUUAUUUUAAAUAUCUGCCUGGGUUGGAGUCCCGGCGAGAACAUCAGCAAAAAAUUUCAGCGGUGGUUAUCCCUUUCCAUUGCUGGCGACAUUUGUGAAAUAUUUUGCCAUGUGAAAACUUUUUUCCAAAGAGGUGUCACAAUGCGGCACCCCUGUCAAGGGUCUAAGCGCAACUCAAUGUGCCAAAUUUUAGUGAAAUUGGGUAAUACAUGUGGCUUUGAAAGGCCUUAACCCUUGGUUCUUUGAAAGACCAAUCUUCCAACUUUAUUUUUCUGAAAUUUCUCUGCGCCUGAAAGAAGAAAGAUCAAGAUCGACCCAUCGGCCUAUGCAAAUAAUUAUUGGAUAUAAUUAAAAUAGGACGGUAGGGUAUGCAAAGUUCUAGACGGCCCAACUUAUUUAUUCCUAUUAUUCUAUCCUACCUAUGUAUUCUUUCUUUAAACAUUAAAAUUAAAUUUGCAAAAAAUAA